Molecule: non-coding RNA, 517 nt
Organism: Oncorhynchus mykiss (rainbow trout)
Lineage: Eukaryota; Metazoa; Chordata; Actinopteri; Salmoniformes; Salmonidae
Source: RefSeq, a predicted model, not a curated record
UUACGCAGGAGAAAAACAACUUCACCACUGACAGUAGGAAUAAGCCCGCACAAAAGCAGGUUGAGCACUGGAAGUUUAAAUAGACCAUUGAUGAACCAAAAUAAGCAACAGGUGAAAACAAUGAAAGACAAUGAAAAAAGGGAUCGCGGCAGCUAGUAGACCGGUGACGGCGACCGCCGAGUGCCGCCCGAACAGGGAGAGGAGCGACCUUCGGUGGAAGUCGUGACAAGAUCAUGUGAUCCAAACUCUGUAUUUAAAGCCCCUGGCACCCCAGAAGAAGUGAAUGCAUUCCGGAGGCAUCCCGGAUCCUUUUGUGCAAAGCAUUUAAAAGCUGCGUUUGUUGAAAGCACAUGGUUAAUGGAGUUUGUAAGAACCGUGAAAGUAGUAUGGGCAUCUGCCUGCUGGACUGCACUGUAUUCCUGUGCCCCUUUAUGUUUGGUUCAUGUUGGUUUGUUCAUUGUGAUUUUAUAUAGAAUCGUUUUUUAAAUUAAAAUAAAUAGAAUGGAAAGAAACUAAU